UCCCGCAACGAGCGCAACCCUUGUCCCUAGCUGCUACGCAAGGACACUCUAGGGAGACUGCCGGUGACAAACUGGAGGAAGGUGGGGAUGACGUCAAGUCCUCAUGGCCCUUAUGGGUAGGGCUUCACACGUCAUACAAUGGCCGGUACAGAGGGUUGCCAAAGCGCGAGCUGGAGCCAAUCCCAGAAAGCCGGUCGUAGUCCGGAUUGCAGUCUGCAACUCGACUGCAUGAAGUCGGAAUCGCUAGUAAUCGCGGAUCAGCAUGCCGCGGUGAAUACGUUCCCGGGUCUUGUACACACCGCCCGUCACACCAUGGGAGUGGGGUGAACCAGAAGUAGGUAGGCUAACCGCAAGGGGGCCGCUUACCACGGUCUGCUUCAUGACUGGGGUGAAGUCGUAACAAGGUAGCCGUAUCGGAAGGUGCGGCUGGAUCAAAAGGGA
Molecule: ribosomal RNA, 441 nt
Filed under: uncultured bacterium
Lineage: Bacteria
Description: bacterial SSU rRNA
Rfam family: Bacterial small subunit ribosomal RNA
Source: RNAcentral